CCUACGUGUGGCAGCAGUGGGGAAUAUUGGGCAAUGGGCGCAAGCCUGACCCAGCAACGCCGCGUGAAGGAAGAAGGCUUUCGGGUUGUAAACUUCUUUUCUGAGGGACGAAGAAAGUGACGGUACCUCAGGAAUAAGCCACGGCUAACUACGUGCCAGCAGCCGCUGUAAUACGUAGGUGGCAAGCGUUAUCCGGAUUUAUUGGGUGUAAAGUGCGUGUAGGCGGGAAAGCAAGUCAGAUGUUAAAACUCAGGGCUCAACCCUGAGCCUGCAUUUGAAUAUGUUGUGCUUGAGUGCUGGAGAGGCAAUCGGAAGUCCGGGUGUAGCGGUGAAAUGCGUAGAUAUACGGAGGAACACCAGUGGCGAAGGCGGAUUGCUGGACAGUAACUGACGCUGAGGCGCGAAAGCGUGGGGAGCAAACAGGAUUAGAUACCCGAGUAGUC
RNAcentral lists this ribosomal RNA (443 nucleotides) under uncultured bacterium. RNAcentral describes it as "partial 16S ribosomal RNA". It matches the Rfam family "Bacterial small subunit ribosomal RNA", at positions 338 to 795 of the family's 1533-position model. The record is from RNAcentral.